Molecule: non-coding RNA, 17 nt
Filed under: Mus musculus (house mouse)
Lineage: Eukaryota; Metazoa; Chordata; Mammalia; Rodentia; Muridae
Source: RNAcentral
GAUGUCUAUAGUAACCU